AUUGAACGCUGGCGGCAGGCCUAACACAUGCAAGUCGAGCGGAUGAAGGGAGCUUGCUCCUGUAUUCAGCGGCGGACGGGUGAGUAAUGCCUAGGAAUCUGCCUGGUAGUGGGGGAUAACGUCCGGAAACGGGCGCUAAUACCGCAUACGUCCUGAGGGAGAAAGUGGGGGAUCUUCGGACCGCACGCUAUCAGAUGAGCCUAGGUCGGAUUAGCUAGUUGGUGGGGUAAAGGCCCACCAAGGCGACGAUCCGUAACUGGUCUGAGAGGAUGAUAAGUCACCCUGGAACUGAGACACGGUCCAGACUCCUACGGGAGGCAGCAGUGGGGAAUAUUGGACAAUGGGCGAAAGCCUGAUCCAGCCAUGCCGCGUGUGUGAAGAAGGUCUUCGGAUUGUAAAGCACUUUAAGUUGGGAGGAAGGGCAGUAAGUUAAUCCCUUGCUGUUUUGACGGUACCAACAGAAUAAGCACCGGCUAACUUCGUG
RNAcentral lists this ribosomal RNA (484 nucleotides) under uncultured bacterium. RNAcentral describes it as "partial 16S ribosomal RNA". It matches the Rfam family "Bacterial small subunit ribosomal RNA", at positions 30 to 507 of the family's 1533-position model. The record is from RNAcentral.